This 447-nucleotide ribosomal RNA is filed under the name uncultured bacterium. RNAcentral's name for it is "bacterial SSU rRNA". It matches the Rfam family "Bacterial small subunit ribosomal RNA", at positions 29 to 521 of the family's 1533-position model. The record is from RNAcentral.
AACGAACGCUGGCGGCAGGCCUAACACAUGCAAGUCGAACGCACUCUUCGGAGUGAGUGGCAGACGGGUGAGUAACGCGUGGGAAUCUUCCCAAUGGUACAGAAUAGCCCAGGGAAACUUGGGGUAAUACUGUAUAAGCCCGAAAGGGGAAAGAUUUAUCGCCAUUGGAUGAGCCCGCGUUGGAUUAGCUUGUUGGUGAGGUAACGGCUCACCAAGGCGACGAUCCAUAGCUGGUCUGAGAGGAUGAUCAGCCACACUGGGACUGAGACACGGCCCAGACUCCUACGGGAGGCAGCAGUGGGGAAUAUUGGACAAUGGGCGCAAGCCUGAUCCAGCCAUGCCGCGUGAGUGACGAAGGUCUUCGGAUUGUAAAGCUCUUUUGGCGGGGACGAUAAUGACGGUACCCGCAGAAUAAGCCCCGGCCAACUUCGUGCCAGCAGCCGCGGU